Molecule: ribosomal RNA, 254 nt
Filed under: uncultured bacterium
Lineage: Bacteria
Description: partial 16S ribosomal RNA
Rfam family: Bacterial small subunit ribosomal RNA
Source: RNAcentral
UACGAAGGGGGCUAGCGUUGCUCGGAAUCACUGGGCGUAAAGCGCACGUAGGCGGAUCGUUAAGUCAGGGGUGAAAUCCUGGAGCUCAACUCCAGAACUGCCUUUGAUACUGGCGAUCUUGAGUUCGAGAGAGGUGAGUGGAACUGCGAGUGUAGAGGUGAAAUUCGUAGAUAUUCGCAAGAACACCAGUGGCGAAGGCGGCUCACUGGCUCGAUACUGACGCUGAGGUGCGAAAGCGUGGGGGAGCAAACAGG